AGAGUUUGAUCAUGGCUCAGAUUGAACGCUGGCGGCAUGCUUUACACAUGCAAGUCGAACGGUAACAGGCCGCAAGGUGCUGACGAGUGGCGAACGGGUGAGUAAUGCAUCGGAACGUGCCCAGUCGUGGGGGAUAACGCAGCGAAAGCUGCGCUAAUACCGCAUACGAUCUAUGGAUGAAAGCGGGGGACCGUAAGGCCUCGCGCGAUUGGAGCGGCCGAUGUCAGAUUAGGUAGUUGGUGGGGUAAAGGCUCACCAAGCCGACGAUCUGUAGCUGGUCUGAGAGGACGACCAGCCACACUGGGACUGAGACACGGCCCAGACUCCUACGGGAGGCAGCAGUGGGGAAUUUUGGACAAUGGGCGCAAGCCUGAUCCAGCAAUGCCGCGUGCAGGAAGAAGGCCUUCGGGUUGUAAACUGCUUUUGUACGGAACGAAAAGGCUCUGGUUAAUACCUGGGGCUCAUGACGGUACCGUAAGAAUAAGCACCGGCUAACUACGUGCCAGCAGCCGCGGUAAUACGUAGGGUGCAAGCGUUAAUCGGAAUUACUGGGCGUAAAGCGUGCGCAGGCGGUUUUGUAAGACAGGCGUGAAAUCCCCGGGCUUAACCUGGGAAUUGCGCUUGUGACUGCAAGGCUGGAGUGCGGCAGAGGGGGAUGGAAUUCCGCGUGUAGCAGUGAAAUGCGUAGAUAUGCGGAGGA
RNAcentral lists this ribosomal RNA (700 nucleotides) under uncultured bacterium. Its description in RNAcentral is "bacterial SSU rRNA". It matches the Rfam family "Bacterial small subunit ribosomal RNA", at positions 8 to 705 of the family's 1533-position model. The record is from RNAcentral.